RNAcentral lists this ribosomal RNA (322 nucleotides) under uncultured eukaryote. RNAcentral describes it as "partial 18S ribosomal RNA". It matches the Rfam family "Eukaryotic small subunit ribosomal RNA", at positions 1470 to 1796 of the family's 1831-position model. The record is from RNAcentral.
CCCUUAGAUGUUCUGGGCCGCACGCGUGCUACACUGAGUAAUUCAAUGGGUAAGGGAACGCUAGAGCAUUACCUAAUCUUGAAAUUUGCUCGCGAUGGGGAUCGACGGUUGCAAUUUUCCGUCGUGAACGAGGAAUACCUUGUAGGCGCAUGUCAUCAUCAUGCGCCGAAUACGUCCCUGCCCUUUGUACACACCGCCCGUCGCUCCUACCGAUUGAGUGAUCCGGUGAGGCUCUGGGACCUGGACGGAAAGAGCGUUUCGCUUGUUCUGUUUGGGAAACUUGGUCGAACCUUAUCAUUUAGAGGAAGGAGAAGUCGUAACA